GGAAAUUUUGUUAAUUAUUUAAUAUAUUUUAUUUUAGUAAAUUAAUUUUUUAUUUCUUUUAUUUACAUGUUAAUUUUUGUGAAAUAGCGUUUUUAAUAACUUUUUAGGCAGUAAUUGUAAUUGUUUUUUAAUGAAAAUUAGAUGUAUAAAUUGAUUCUAGACUCGACUAAUUUUGUGCCAGCAGUUGCGGUUAUACGAUUGAGUCAAAAGAAUUUUUAAAAUAAAUUAAUUAUUUAUUUAGUUAAAAAAAUUAAAAUUAAGGUUUUGAAGGUAAAAUUUAAUUUUUGGAAUUGAGAUUUUUGUUAAUAAUUAAGAAAUUGAUAAGUAAACCAGGAUUAGAUACCCUGUUAUUAAAAUGUAAAUUUAUUGGAGUAGUAAAAGUUAAUAUCUUGAAACUCAAAAGAUUUGGCGGUAUUUUAUCUUAUUAGAGGAACCUGUUUAUUAAUUGAUAUUCCACAACUUAAAUUUACUUUUACUAGUUUAUUUGUAUACCGCUGUCAUGAAUCUAUUAAUAAGUUUAUUUUCGAGAUUUUUUAUGUAAAUUAUGUUAGGUCAAGGUGCAGUAUGUAAAUGAUUAAAAUGGGUUACAUUAUUUAUUAUGAAUGAAUUAUUUAUGUUAAAGAAAAUAUGAAAUGGGAUUUAUAAGUAAAAUAAUUACUAGAGAUUUUAUAUGAAUAGAGAUCCUAAAAUAUGUACACAUUGCCCGUCGCUCUUGUUUAAAAUAAGAUAAGUCGUAACAUAGUAGAUGUACUGGAAAGUGUCUCUGGAAUUAGA
Molecule: non-coding RNA, 774 nt
Filed under: Cacopsylla fuscicella
Lineage: Eukaryota; Metazoa; Arthropoda; Insecta; Hemiptera; Psyllidae
Source: RNAcentral